AGGAGGAGCGAAUCNCAAAACUCGGUCCCAGUUCAGAUUGCAGGCUGCAACUCGCCUGCAUGAAGUUGGAAUUGCUAGUAAUCGCGAAUCAGAAUGUCGCGGUGAAUACGUUCCCGGGUCUUGUACACACCGCCCGUCGCACCAUGGAAGUCUGCAAUGCCCGAAGCCGGUGGCCUAACCACUUAUGUGGAAGGAGCCGUCUAAGGCAGGGCAGAUGACUGGGGUGAAGUCGUAACAAGGUAUC
Molecule: ribosomal RNA, 244 nt
Filed under: uncultured bacterium
Lineage: Bacteria
Description: partial 16S ribosomal RNA
Rfam family: Bacterial small subunit ribosomal RNA
Source: RNAcentral